UACAGAGGUGACGAACGUUGUCCGGAAUCACUGGGCGUAAAGGGCACGUAGGCGGUUCGCUAAGUCAGAUGUGAAAUCCAGGAGCUUAACUCUUGAAUUGCAUUUGAAACUGGCGUGCUAGAGUUCGGUAGAGGAAGGCGGAAUUCCAGGUGUAGCGGUGAAAUGCGUAGAUAUCUGGAGGAACACCGGUGGCGAAGGCGGCCUUCUGGUCCGAUACUGACGCUGAUGUGCGAAAGCGUGGGGAGCAAACAGG
RNAcentral lists this unclassified non-coding RNA (253 nucleotides) under uncultured bacterium. RNAcentral describes it as "contains 16S-23S intergenic spacer region". It matches the Rfam family "Bacterial small subunit ribosomal RNA", at positions 524 to 776 of the family's 1533-position model. The record is from RNAcentral.